This 1009-nucleotide long non-coding RNA is filed under the name Fragaria vesca (wild strawberry). RNAcentral's name for it is "long non-coding RNA (FVES_LNC000718)". The record is from RNAcentral. Lineage: Eukaryota; Viridiplantae; Streptophyta; Magnoliopsida; Rosales; Rosaceae.
ACAGAAGCUGCUAUAUUAUGCGGCAUAUAUUAUGCUACAUAUCAAAACCAAACAUUUAUGGGGAAAUCAAAAUAUGUAUAAUCAAAAAUUAAUUAUAAUAUUUGGCUGAAAACGUUCUUCAUCAGCUCGACUACUAAUGCUCCCAACACUACUUGUCCAAAACAUAUGACAACUAUAACAAAUAUCAUACAGGAUGCUCCCAACACUACUUGUCCAAAACAUAUGACAACUAUAACAAAUAUCAUACAGGCAAUACAGGUAGUUCACUUCGGCAUGACUGCUUUGUAUGCAAUGCAACAGCAAAAUACCAUGCAUAACACAGCAUCAUGCAGGCAACUUACUUGGGGAGGAACCAAAUCUAAAAAAAAAGAUGACACAUUGGUUAAAAUGAUUCAUUCUGCAACCUACAGAAAUAUACACAGCUAAAUAUCCAACAAUCGCGGAUGUUGGUCAACUAAGAUAUGUUUCUUUCAGUCAUAUAAAUUGUAAUUGUGUGUGACCCUAACGCUGAUUCAUCCGUUGUUUCAAGUAAAGUCUCUUUUUAACAAGCAUGGUUGUAGCAUCCGCUACAUGUAGCUUCACAAGGGAUCCAAGCCCAUGAGAAGCUUUGGAGGGCUAUUUUCUUUCUAUAAAAGGGGUGACUCACCAGGUUGCUGACGAAAGCCAGUUGUUGAGAGAAUUUAUAGCUUCCUUGCAAUCACAUUCCAAACGAAGAGAUGAAAGGUGGAGUUUAUCAGCUAAUGAGCUUCCAUGCAGUCACAUUCCAAUCAAAUCCCUAAUCAAAUGUCCUCCUUACACUUGAUAGUCAAUUCCAUACCCAAGAACUUGGUAACCGAGUAAGCAUUUCAGAUGUAAACAAGUCAAUUCAACAGUAAAGUAACUUCAAACUAUUAAGGUAUUUUUUUAGUCAGAAGGGAUGUUGAAUUUUUUGCAGAUGAUAUGGCACAACAUCAAGUUCCACUUUGUCAAAAGAAAAGAAACUCACACAGUCUCCCAAAACAUGACAAAA